GAUGAACGCUGGCGGCGUGCCUAAUACAUGCAAGUCGAGCGAACAGACGAGGAGCUUGCUCCUCUGACGUUAGCGGCGGACGGGUGAGUAACACGUGGAUAACCUACCUAUAAGACUGGGAUAACUUCGGGAAACCGGAGCUAAUACCGGAUAAUAUAUUGAACCGCAUGGUUCAAUAGUGAAAGACGGUUUUGCUGUCACUUAUAGAUGGAUCCGCGCCGCAUUAGCUAGUUGGUAAGGUAACGGCUUACCAAGGCGACGAUGCGUAGCCGACCUGAGAGGGUGAUCGGCCAAACUGGAGCUGAGACACGGUACAGACUCCUACGGGAGGCAGCAGUAGGGAAUCUUCCGCAAUGGGCGAAAGCCUGACGGAGCAACGCCGCGUGAGUGAUGAAGGUCUUCGGAUCGUAAAACUCUGUUAUUAGGGAAGAACAAAUGUGUAAGUAACUAUGCACGUCUUGACGGUACCUAAUCAGAAAGCCACGGCUAACUACGUG
Molecule: ribosomal RNA, 497 nt
Filed under: uncultured bacterium
Lineage: Bacteria
Description: partial 16S ribosomal RNA
Rfam family: Bacterial small subunit ribosomal RNA
Source: RNAcentral